Solanum lycopersicum (tomato) is the source of this 2500-nucleotide long non-coding RNA. RefSeq lists it as uncharacterized. Lineage: Eukaryota; Viridiplantae; Streptophyta; Magnoliopsida; Solanales; Solanaceae. The record is from RefSeq and is a predicted model, not a curated record.
UGUUCGUCGGUUUUAAUUUAUUUUAUUUUAUUAAUUAGUUUUUGAAAAAGCGACGGACGACAUCUCUUAGUCCGUCACUUUUUGGUCAAAAUAUUUAGUCAAACAUUUAAAAAAAGCGACGGACACCAUCUCUUAGUCCGUUGCUUUUUAGUCAAAAUUUUGAUUAAAUAUUUUUAAAAAGCGAAGGACAAAGAGAUGAUGUCGGUCGCUUUUUAAAAAUUAUGUUGAACCAAAAGGGGGUUUCCCCCAUUUUCCCAACUCUCUUUCUCUCUCUUCUCUCUAAAACCAAAUUUGUUGUGCCGCCGCUGCCCCACCCUACGCCAUCGUCGCUCUUCUCUCCUUGAGCAUUAGUUCCAUCGUACCCUUUCCCCGUUGGCGUCACCACCCGUCGUCCCCACUGCCUCUUUUCCUUAACUUGUUAAGAUGAGUAACAGAAUUUGGCAGUUUCUGUGUCAAACAAAUAUUAGAAAAAAGCAACGAACAAAAUGAUUUUGUCCAUCAUUUUUUUUGGAUUUUAUUUUUAAAAAAAAUUCAGAAAAGCAACGAACAAGUUCCUUUAGUCCGUCGCUGUUUUAAUUUUAUUUAUUUUUAAAACCCAAAAAAGUGAUGUACAUGGUUCUUUAGUUCGUCGCUUUUUUAAAGUUUUCACAUUUUUAUUUUCAAAAAAGUGACGGAUAGUGUCUCAUUGUCCGUCGCUUUUCAAGAUUUUAAAUCGACGGAUUUCAUCUCUCUUUUUAAUUUAAAAAUAAAAUAAAAUAAAAUAAGUGAUAGACGACGUCACAUUCUUCAAAAAAAAUAUUUUAAAAAAAUAAAAUAUGACGCAGUCCGUCGCUUUUGAAAAAGCAUCGAGCCAAGAAACAAAGAGAUUAACUGUGUCGCUUUUCCGUCUCUUUUUCCCCCCAGUAUUUUAGUAGUGAAUGUCGAAGGAGAAACAAGGCCUAAUGUUUUAAAUGUAAGAAGUCUAUGGCAAUAACUAGUCUAAGCCUAUACUAGGUCGAAGCUCAAUUAUACAAUCACAACAACUUACAAGUCAAAACAUAAGAUAAGGAUAGACUCAUAGCCCCCAACUAGCUAGUAUAGUUAUAAUCCUGAAAUAAUAUCGAUCAAGCCUAAAACAUGGUUUUUAUGAAAGAAAACCAACCAGGUACUCUCCCUCAUUUGACUCUAAUCAACAUAUGUUCACACAUUCAACCUCAAUCUAGGAUAAAGAAAGUUGUAGCCUACCUUAAGGCUGACAGCAUAUGCUCCAAAUCACAUAUCUGGAGUUUUUUCUUUACGAACAACCUCAGAAUGUUGCCCCGCUAUUGAAAAUAGGAUUACAAUGUUAAUACACUCCUUUAGACACUAAACCACAUAAAAUAGAGACAUAACACUUUUUAAAUCAAACAGGAACCAUGGCACCAAUGCCGAAACUUCUGGGAUCGACUAAGUUAAAAAGUCUUAAAUAGUACCCCCAAACUUGUGUUCCAAAUGGAACACAAUUCGGGGCUCGAAACAACAAGAACAAACAACAUACGACAAUUUCACCAUUAAAGAUAACAACUAAGAUAAGGUAGCCUACAAUUGAACGAAUUUACCUGAAACGAGAGAUGCCACACACUUUCAAUCACACCACUGCAUAGACCCAAGCUCAAAAAGACACCAGACUUUGAAUUGUUGCAAUCAAAUCUCUAAAGAGGGAUGGAUCGCUAAAACUUAAGUGACCACUUAUCUCUCUUAAGUGAUUGGCCUGCAAGAGGCGGUUUAUUCCAUAAGCCCCUGGUCGCUAAAGUGAGCCUUGCUUAAGCAACACUAGGGUCACAAAAAGGGUAUGGUUUGGCCUGCUAAGCUCGUUUAAGUGAUACCCUAGUCGUAAAGUGAUGCUCGUUUAAGCGAUGAGAGAGAUGCUAAAGCGACUUCCAUUUAAGUGGCCUAGCUUGCUAAAGCGGAGCCUUGGCUACUAAAGCAAAAUCGCUUAAACGAGGCAGGGUCGAAAAAGUAAGCACCAACAUCAAGUACCAAUAAAAUCAGCUAAGUUUUGUUUAAAACCCCAUGCACACAAAAGAGAUAUGCCACCUAAUCAUAUUUGACAUUUCUAGACUCAAGGGAGAAGUCAAAACUUCCAUUCGAUGUUGUCUUGACAAAAAGUGAAUCUCACACCCAAACUCCAAUUUAAGCCAAAAUUCACAAGGGGGCUCAGAAUUAGCUUAGGAGCCUCAAGAUCAGCACGGAGGGUCCUCAGACUCUUUCUAGGUGUAUGGUGUACUUUUUUUAUUUUCCUGCAUGGUUUGUAAUUGAUCUUUUUUAUUCUUCACAAUGUGUACAAGAUUUGUGGAGGUUUUCAUUUGAAUAGAGAAGAAGAACAACGAAGUGGUUGAAAGAGAAAUAGUUAGGCCCGUGGGGAGAAACAGAAACGUGGGUAUGUGGGAGUGGGAUGAAGAUCAGUUAAAAAACUCUCCCGAAAGGUGUAAUUGAUACUUAUCAAUUGAUUCUCUCUCAUUAAUGUUAUUUCUUUCACCUA